This 481-nucleotide ribosomal RNA is filed under the name Porphyromonas gingivalis. Its description in RNAcentral is "bacterial SSU rRNA". It matches the Rfam family "Bacterial small subunit ribosomal RNA", at positions 28 to 498 of the family's 1533-position model. Lineage: Bacteria; Pseudomonadati; Bacteroidota; Bacteroidia; Bacteroidales; Porphyromonadaceae. The record is from RNAcentral.
GAUGAACGCUAGCGAUAGGCUUAACACAUGCAAGUCGAGGGGCAGCAUGAUCUUAGCUUGCUAAGGUUGAUGGCGACCGGCGCACGGGUGCGUAACGCGUAUGCAACUUGCCUUACAGAGGGGGAUAACCCGUUGAAAGACGGACUAAAACCGCAUACACUUGUAUUAUUGCAUGAUAUUACAAGGAAAUAUUUAUAGCUGUAAGAUAGGCAUGCGUCCCAUUAGCUGGUUGGUGAGGUAACGGCUCACCAAGGCGACGAUGGGUAGGGGAACUGAGAGGUUUAUCCCCCACACUGGUACUGAGACACGGACCAGACUCCUACGGGAGGCAGCAGUGAGGAAUAUUGGUCAAUGGGCGAGAGCCUGAACCAGCCAAGUCGCGUGAAGGAAGACAGUCCUAAGGAUUGUAAACUUCUUUUAUACGGGAAUAACGGGCGAUACGAGUAUUGCAUUGAAUGUACCGUAAGAAUAAGCAUCGGCU